RNAcentral lists this ribosomal RNA (253 nucleotides) under uncultured bacterium. Its description in RNAcentral is "partial 16S ribosomal RNA". It matches the Rfam family "Bacterial small subunit ribosomal RNA", at positions 524 to 776 of the family's 1533-position model. The record is from RNAcentral.
UACGUAGGGGGCAAGCGUUGUCCGGAUUUAUUGGGCGUAAAGAGCGUGUAGGCGGCUAGAUAGGUCCGUUGUGAAAACUCGAGGCUCAACCUCGAGACGCCGGUGGAAACCAUCUAGCUAGAGUCCGGAAGAGGAGAGUGGAAUUCCCGGUGUAGCGGUGAAAUGCGCAGAUAUCGGGAGGAACACCGGUGGCGAAGGCGGUUCUCUGGGCCUUACCUGACGCUGAGGAGCGAAAGCGUGGGGAGCGAACAGG